CCGUUUUUAACAAAUUUUAUAUAAAAAUUCAUGUACCGGAGGUUUAAUUUCUAAUGGUGGUAGUUUCAUAAUCUGGUUUUAACCUUAUAAAAAGUUAUAAGCAGAAUACGACACGCUGGUCGUAGAUUUCAAACCAAAUGUAGGGGUUAUGUGGUGUUUGAGUGUUACGCUUGUUUAGGGACACUUCUAAACCUUUGAGAUGGACAUGCUAGUAUACGUUACGCAUCUUUAAUCUAUUGUUGGUAUUAUAGAUUAUUGUUAGGAGUUAGUUUUGACGUUUAAGCGUUCAAUAAACUGAUAUGGUUAAUUUGUGGUUAGGUGUCAACCUAGUCAAUUGGGAGAGGUCGAAACCGUAAGUUUGGCGUACCUCGGUCGAUACAAAGGUAGCAGGUUGCUUAGAGUGGGUCCACUACAGGUCGUCGUGUUGAGGUGUUUUUGCUAGCGUUAGGUGGGGUUUUGGUUACGUUGUUGUCGAGUGCCUUAUCUGAUACAGAACUUAAUUUGUAAGGAGUUGUAGCUAAGGAUAGUUAAAGUUUUUUUUAAAUUGUAUAGGUUGUAAUUAAGUUUGGUCGAUGGUUGACAUUCUAUUUGAGGUUAGCAUUGGACGUUAUGGAUGGUCGAGUUUGUUGUAGGUGGUUGAUGAUGAAGUUGGUUUAUUCAAGUUGUAAGUAA
Long non-coding RNA from Rhododendron vialii, 672 nucleotides. RefSeq lists it as uncharacterized. The transcript has 2 exons. Lineage: Eukaryota; Viridiplantae; Streptophyta; Magnoliopsida; Ericales; Ericaceae. The record is from RefSeq and is a predicted model, not a curated record.